This 339-nucleotide unclassified non-coding RNA is filed under the name soil metagenome. RNAcentral's name for it is "partial contains 5.8S ribosomal RNA, internal transcribed spacer 2, and large subunit ribosomal RNA". The stretch from base 1 to 120 matches the Rfam family "5.8S ribosomal RNA", at positions 35 to 154 of the family's 154-position model. The record is from RNAcentral.
GAUGAAGAACGUAGUGAAAUGCGAUAAGUAGUGUGAAUUGCAGAAUUCAGUGAAUCAUCGAAUCUUUGAACGCACAUUGCGCCCCUCGGUAUUCCGUGGGGCAUGCCUGUUCGAGCGUCAUUUAACCCCUCAAGCCUAGCUUGGUAUUGGGUGCUUGUCCCGCCUCUCGCGCGGCGACUCACCUCAAAGUCAUUGGCAGCCCGCAUCUCGCCGGCCGUGAGCGCAGCACAGACGCGCUCUUGGCAACGACGGAUCGGCUCUCCAAAAGCUUAUUUCAACCACUGACCUCGGAUCAGGUAGGGAUACCCGCUGAACUUAAGCAUAUCAAUAAGCGGAGGA